This 496-nucleotide ribosomal RNA is filed under the name uncultured bacterium. RNAcentral's name for it is "partial 16S ribosomal RNA". It matches the Rfam family "Bacterial small subunit ribosomal RNA", at positions 28 to 506 of the family's 1533-position model. The record is from RNAcentral.
GAUGAACGCUGGCGGCGUGCCUAAUACAUGCAAGUCGAGCGAACGGACGAGAAGCUUGCUUUUCUGAUGUUAGCGGCGGACGGGUGAGUAACACGUGGAUAACCUACCUAUAAGACUGGGAUAACUUCGGGAAACUGGAGCUAAUACCGGAUAAUAUUUUGAACCGCAUGGUUCAAAAGUGAAAGACGGUCUUGCUGUCACUUAUAGAUGGAUCCGCGCUGCAUUAGCUAGUUGGUAAGGUAACGGCUUACCAAGGCAACGAUGCAUAGCCGACCUGAGAGGGUGAUCGGCCACACUGGAACUGAGACACGGUCCAGACUCCUACGGGAGGCAGCAGUAGGGAAUCUUCCGCAAUGGGCGAAAGCCUGACGGAGCAACGCCGCGUGAGUGAUGAAGGUCUUCGGAUCGUAAAACUCUGUUAUUAGGGAAGAACAUAUGUGUAAGUAACUGUGCACAUCUUGACGGUACCUAAUCAGAAAGCCACGGCUAACUACGU